CCCCGUGUAGCACAGUGGCAGUGCGUCAGUCUUGUAAACUGAAGGUCCCAGGUUCAAUCCCUGGUGCGGGCA
This is a non-coding RNA of Gaertneriomyces semiglobifer, 72 nucleotides long. NCBI's taxonomy places the organism in Eukaryota, Fungi, Chytridiomycota, Chytridiomycetes, Spizellomycetales, Spizellomycetaceae. The record is from the annotation of a GenBank genome assembly.